RNAcentral lists this ribosomal RNA (796 nucleotides) under Lepidocollema brisbanense. RNAcentral describes it as "SSU rRNA". It matches the Rfam family "Bacterial small subunit ribosomal RNA", at positions 368 to 1212 of the family's 1533-position model. The record is from RNAcentral. Lineage: Eukaryota; Fungi; Ascomycota; Lecanoromycetes; Peltigerales; Collemataceae.
UCAAUGGCCUAACGGCUGAACCAGCAACUUGGAAGAAUGUAUAGCAAUAGCUAAUUGUAAACAAUGGUUUUUACAAUAUCGACUAUGUCGAAUAAAAUUCUAGGUAGAUAGAUGAUAAUGACACUAUCUAUUUAUGGUCUUGACUAAAUUACGUGCCAGCAGUCGCGGUAAUACGUAAUAGACCAGUGUUAUUCAUCUUUAAUAGGUUUAAAGCGUACUUAGACGGUAAUUAUUGCUUGAAUAAGGUACAUUAUUACUAGAGUUAUAUGUGAGAGUGCUUGAAAGUACUGUUGAGUGGAGAGAUGAUAUUCUUUUAUACCAGACGAUUGGCACAGAUAUUGGCGAAAGCAUCACUUUAUGUAAUAACUGACGUUGACAGACGAAGGCUAUGUAUCGCAAAAAGGAUUAGGUACCCUCGUAGUCUUAGCAGAAAAUUAUGAAUGUCAUAAAUUAGAUAUUAUUUAGUUUAUAAAUGAAAGUGUAAGCAUUCCACCUCAAGAGUAAUUUGGCAACAUUGAAACUGAAAUCAUUAGACCGUUUCUGAAACCAGUAGUGAAGUAUGUUGUUUAAUUUGAUAACCCGCAAAAAACCUUACCACAACUUGAAUAUUAAUAAUAUAUUUUUACAAGCGUUGCACGGCUGUCUUCAGUUAAUGUCGUGAGAUUAUGGUUAACUCCAUAUUAAUUAACCUAAACCCUUAUUUUAUUUUUAGAUAAAGUUUUCUAACAAAAAUUCCAUUUAUUUUUUGUUAUGAUAAAAGGGACUAAGACAAGUCAUCAUGGCCGUAAUGUUGUGG